Molecule: ribosomal RNA, 468 nt
Filed under: uncultured bacterium
Lineage: Bacteria
Description: partial 16S ribosomal RNA
Rfam family: Bacterial small subunit ribosomal RNA
Source: RNAcentral
GACGAACGCUGGCGGCGUGCCUAACACAUGCAAGUCGAACGGACAGGCCCUGCUCUUGUUCGGUUCUCGAGUGCCGAACGCGUGAGUAACACGUGAGUAUCCUGCCCUUGACUUUCGGAUAACUUCAGGAAACUCCGGCUCAUAUCGCAUAUGAGCUCCUGCUGCAUGGUGGGCGUUGGAAAGUUUCGGCGGUUGGGGAUGGACUCGCGGCUUAUCAGCUUGUUGGUCGGGUAGUUGCUUACCAAGGUUUUGACGGGUAGCCGGCCUGAGCGGGUAGCCGGCGACAUGGGGACUGAGGGACGGCGCAGACGGGUACGGGAGGCAAUAGGGGGAAAUAUUGCAGAAUGGGCGGGAGCCAGAGAAAGAAGCGCCGGGUGCGGGAUGACGGCCUUCGGGUUGUAAACCGCUUUGGCCUGUGACGAAGCGUGAGUGACGGUAAUGGGUAAAGAAGCAACGGCUAACUACGUG